UAGUCCACGCCGUAAACGAUGAUAACUAGCUGUUCGGGUUCACAGAACUUGAGUGGCGCAGCUAACGCAUUAAGUUAUCCGCCUGGGGAGUACGGUCGCAAGAUUAAAACUCAAAGGAAUUGACGGGGGCCUGCACAAGCGGUGGAGCAUGUGGUUUAAUUCGAAGCAACGCGCAGAACCUUACCAGCCUUUGACAUCCUGGUCGCGGAUUAGAGAGAUCUUUUCCUUCAGUUCGGCUGGACCAGUGACAGGUGCUGCAUGGCUGUCGUCAGCCCGUGUCGUGAGAUGUUGGGUUAAGUCCCGCAACGAGCGCAACCCUUGUCUUUAGUUGCCAUCAUUAAGUUGGGCACUUUAAAGAGACUGCCGGUGACAAACCGGAGGAAGGUAAGGAUGACGUCAAGUCAGCAUGCCCCUUAUGCUCUGGGCUACACACGUGCUACAAUGGCCGUGACAAAGAGUUGCUACUUUGUGAAAACAAGCUAAUCUCAUAAACGCGG
This 497-nucleotide ribosomal RNA is filed under the name uncultured bacterium. RNAcentral's name for it is "bacterial SSU rRNA". It matches the Rfam family "Bacterial small subunit ribosomal RNA", at positions 791 to 1285 of the family's 1533-position model. The record is from RNAcentral.